This is a small nucleolar RNA of Peromyscus maniculatus bairdii (prairie deer mouse), 134 nucleotides long. The record is from Ensembl. NCBI's taxonomy places the organism in Eukaryota, Metazoa, Chordata, Mammalia, Rodentia, Cricetidae.
ACGCGCUGCCUUUGAGCCCCCGGCGUCCUUCCUCGUGGUGCCGGGGGUUAAGCUGCGGCGCCAUAGCAAUUGCUAGCGCAUAACUGGGGCUGCCUGCCCAUCAUGGGCGGCCCUUUUAACUGCUAGGUACAGGC